CAGUCGUACCGGCGGGUAAUCAGCCUUUCGGGUAUGAUUCUGUGGAGUGUGGGGAGCUAAACACCCUCAUGCCUGCAUAUUCGUGCUCUUGGGUGUACUUGCUCGUGUGGUUGGUUAACAUCAAUUUCGGAUGCCAUAAAAUGACUGGAGGAAUGUAGCUUCGAUCUCGUAUUGAAGUGUUAUAGCCUUCGGUAGAUGUGGUGAUCGGGAUUGAGGAUUGCAACGGAUACCCUUCGGGGCUACCUGUCUGAUCUCUGAUCGUUGCUCUGGUACCGAAAGCUUGCUUACGGUUAUCAAAGUCGAUGGUCAACAGGUUAGAACGGGUUAAAUUCGUUAAGGAUGUUGACGUAAUGGCUUUAAACGACCGUCUUGAAACACGGACCAAGGAGUCUAACAUAUAUGCGAGUGUUU
Molecule: ribosomal RNA, 411 nt
Filed under: Rhizophagus intraradices
Lineage: Eukaryota; Fungi; Glomeromycota; Glomeromycetes; Glomerales; Glomeraceae
Source: RNAcentral